UACGUAGGGGGCAAGCGUUGUCCGGAAUUAUUGGGCGUAAAGCGCGCGCAGGCGGUUCUUUAAGUCUGGUGUUUAAACCUGGGGCUCAACUUCAGGUCGCACUGGAAACUGGGGGACUUGAGUACAGAAGAGGAGAGUGGAAUUCCACGUGUAGCGGUGAAAUGCGUAGAGAUCCGGAAGAACACCGGUGGCGAAGGCGGUUGGCUGGGCAGGUGCUGACACUGAGGCGCGACAGCGUGGGGAGCAAACAGG
This 252-nucleotide ribosomal RNA is filed under the name uncultured bacterium. RNAcentral describes it as "partial 16S ribosomal RNA". It matches the Rfam family "Bacterial small subunit ribosomal RNA", at positions 524 to 776 of the family's 1533-position model. The record is from RNAcentral.